CAUGGUCCCACCAUGGAGGAGUGUGUAGGUUAUAGCAGAUGAUAGAUGUGAAAGUGGUGACUUAGGUUCAGUGGGAAGGAUGAUUACAGAAGAAUGGGGAAUUCAGAAACCUGGAGCACAAAGCCUGAGACAGAAUUCAAACCAAAGGCAAGGAUAAUGCUGCUGACAACUAGAUCCAAGAACUUCCUCCCUUUCCUGGGUUCAUCCAUUUCUCAUCCUUCCACAGGUUCCCAGGUUACAUACACUACCCACAAUGACAAUCAGCAACUGCUUUUGGACUGAAGGCACUGGACACCCUCUAUCUUGUCACCAUGCUGGUCAGAGGUGUGAUCACUCAGCCCUAGAAACUGUCGCUUUCACCUGCUGAGGAAAUGAUCAUCUAAAAAGGACACACACAAGGGAGAAGAAAAUUGUCCAAAGAGGCUGCAGUUGUUCACUGACAAACUAAUGGUAUGCAUCAUCACAAAUCAACAAAUGUGCAUGCUACAUUAAGUUCACCACUAAAAGCCCAAGUCUAUCCUUCAUUAUAUAAAUGAUGCCUUUUAUCAGGUCAUCUCCAAACAACUCUCCAAGGCAGCUGCUUUAUCAUCCCCACCUUCGGGGUAUGAAAACACACUUCAGAGAUGUGUCGUAUCUUACCAGGUUCAACAACGAAUCAGUGAGGUUCGGAUUCCAACACAGUACUGUCUUACUUCAAGCCCUGUGCUCUAUGGACAACAUCUGACUCUGAAUUUCUGGAGGUCACCCCAUCCUAGAUCCAGCUCCCCAGUGCUUUCUGAACAUCUACUGUUUUAAGCACUGUACUAGCUUCAGUAAAGAACAUACAACUGGAUCACAGAAUUUUCUUUAUAGGAUCAUAUCAUCUCGGUGAAGAGCAGGAAAAACAUAGAUACAAAACCCACAGUUACAAAUACAAAGCCAAACAUGCUAAUUUUCCCAGGACAGUCUUG
Molecule: long non-coding RNA, 950 nt
Organism: Talpa occidentalis (Iberian mole)
Lineage: Eukaryota; Metazoa; Chordata; Mammalia; Eulipotyphla; Talpidae
Exons: 6
Source: RefSeq, a predicted model, not a curated record